GACGAACGCUGGCGGCGUGCUUAACACAUGCAAGUCGAACGGAAAGGCCCUGCUUGCGGUGUACGCGCGAGUGGCGAGCGAGUGACACACACGUGAGUUACCCUCUCCUUACUGUGAUAUUACUGCAAGAAAGGGUGUCACAUACCAGAUAGGCGCUCCUCAUGGUGGGGGUUGGAAAGCUUGUUCGGUCUGGGAUGGGCUCGCGGCCUAUCAGCUUGUUGGUGGGGUAAUGGCCUACCAAGGCAGUGACGGGUAGCCGGCCUGGGAGGGGGGACGGCCACAUUGGGACUGAGAUACGGGCCAGACUCCUACGGGGGGGAGGAGUGGGGAAUAAUGCACAAUGGGCGGAAGCCUGAUGCAGCAACGCCGCGUGGGGGAUGACGGCCUUCGGGUUGUAAACCCGUUUCAGCAGGGGCGAAGCUGUUAGUGACGGUACCUGGAGAAGAAGCACCGGCUAACUACGUG
RNAcentral lists this ribosomal RNA (465 nucleotides) under uncultured bacterium. RNAcentral describes it as "partial 16S ribosomal RNA". It matches the Rfam family "Bacterial small subunit ribosomal RNA", at positions 28 to 507 of the family's 1533-position model. The record is from RNAcentral.